RNAcentral lists this ribosomal RNA (481 nucleotides) under uncultured bacterium. Its description in RNAcentral is "partial 16S ribosomal RNA". It matches the Rfam family "Bacterial small subunit ribosomal RNA", at positions 28 to 507 of the family's 1533-position model. The record is from RNAcentral.
GAUGAACGCUGGCGGCGUGCCUAACACAUGCAAGUCGAACGGAGAUUACGGACGGAAGUUUUCGGAUGGAAGCCUGUAAUUCUUAGUGGCGGACGGGUGAGUAACGCGUGGGCAACCUGCCCUAUACAGGGGGAUAGCAGCUGGAAACGGCUGGUAAGACCGCAUAAGUCGGUUAAAUCGCAUGAUUUGAUCGGGAAAUGAGCAAUCAGGUAUAGGAUGGGCCCGCGUCCGAUUAGCCAGUUGGCAGGGUAAAAGCCUACCAAAGCGACGAUCGGUAGCCGGACUGAGGGGUCGGACGGCCACAUUGGGACUGAGACACGGCCCAAGCUCCUACGGGAGGCAGCAGUGGGGGAUAUUGCACAAUGGAGGAAACUCUGAUGCAGCGACGCCGCGUGAGUGAAGAAGUAUUUCGGUAUGUAAAGCUCUAUCAGCAGGGAAGAUGAUGACGGUACCUGACUAAGAAGCCCCGGCUAACUACGUG